RNAcentral lists this long non-coding RNA (579 nucleotides) under Astyanax mexicanus (Mexican tetra). Its description in RNAcentral is "lncRNA (ENSAMXG00005009989.1)". Lineage: Eukaryota; Metazoa; Chordata; Actinopteri; Characiformes; Acestrorhamphidae. The record is from RNAcentral.
GUGCAGUUAAACACAGUAUAAAUUAGAAAAUUAGAAAAAGAGAGAGAGGUGCUCUGUGUGAUGAUCACUUAUUAUACUAAUUUAGGAAUCAUAUUUGUACUAAAAAGCUUUUGUGAAACCCACUGCAGAACAGCCUUACCUGCACUCUUCUCUUUCUGCUGUUUAUCCAUCUUCUCUUUCUGCUGUUUAUCCAUCUUCUCUUUCUGCUGUUUAUCCAUCUUCUCUCUCUUCAUCUGCUGAUCCUCCUGUUCCUCUCAGCAGCUAGUGUUUCCGAUCUUCCACUGCUGCUGGAAGAAAUGGUUUCCGAAAUGUUGUUGCACUGCCCCGCCGCUCGCCUGUAUCUUUCUCCUUUUCUAGUUUUCAAAACACAUGCGGAGCUGGAGGAGGAGAGACUGAGCGCGGCCUUGACUUGCUGUAUCGGCUUGGCUGUAAAGUCAUCGGGGGUGAGAACUUGGAGAUAAGCCAAUGGAUUCCUUGGCUUAACUGCUUGAAAGAUUACUCUUCGUGUAUAUUUUUAGAUUCUAGUUGUAAUCCUGUUUUCCGCCUGUAGGUUUCGCUGACGGGACAAUCUAAAUAAAU